CCUACGGGGGGCUGCAGUGGGGAAUAUUGCACAAUGGGCGCAAGCCUGAUGCAGCCAUGCCGCGUGUGUGAAGAAGGCCUUCGGGUUGUAAAGCACUUUCAGCGGGGAGGAAGGCGUUAAGGUUAAUAACCUUGGCGAUUGACGUUACCCGCAGAAGAAGCACCGGCUAACUCCGUGCCAGCAGCCGCGGUAAUACGGAGGGUGCAAGCGUUAAUCGGAAUUACUGGGCGUAAAGCGCACGCAGGCGGUCUGUCAAGUCGGAUGUGAAAUCCCCGGGCUCAACCUGGGAACUGCAUUCGAAACUGGCAGGCUAGAGUCUUGUAGAGGGGGGUAGAAUUCCAGGUGUGGCGGUGAAAUGCGUAGAGAUCUGGAGGAAUACCGGUGGCGAAGGCGGCCCCCUGGACAAAGACUGACGCUCAGGUGCGAAAGCGUGGGGAGCAAACAGGAUUAGAUACCCCAGUAGUC
RNAcentral lists this ribosomal RNA (465 nucleotides) under uncultured Klebsiella sp. RNAcentral's name for it is "bacterial SSU rRNA". It matches the Rfam family "Bacterial small subunit ribosomal RNA", at positions 338 to 795 of the family's 1533-position model. Lineage: Bacteria; Pseudomonadati; Pseudomonadota; Gammaproteobacteria; Enterobacterales; Enterobacteriaceae. The record is from RNAcentral.